This 473-nucleotide ribosomal RNA is filed under the name uncultured bacterium. Its description in RNAcentral is "SSU rRNA". It matches the Rfam family "Bacterial small subunit ribosomal RNA", at positions 26 to 518 of the family's 1533-position model. The record is from RNAcentral.
AGGAUAAACGCUGGCGGCGUGCAUGAGACAUGCAAGUCGAACGGACGAUCGAGGCUUGCUUCGAUCGUUAGUGGCGGACGGCUGAGUAACGCGUAGGUGACCUGCCCCGAAGUGGGGAAUAACUGCCCGAAAGGGUGGCUAAUACCGCAUGUGGUGGUGCGUUCAAUCGCACCAGUAAAGCCGCAAGGCGCUUCGGGAGGGGCCUGCGUCCGAUUAGCUCGUUGGUGGGGUAACGGCUCACCAAGGCGACGAUCGGUAGGUGGUCUGAGAGGACGAUCACCCAGACUGGGACUGAGACACGGCCCAGACUCCUACGGGAGGCAGCAGUCGGGAAUUUUGCGCAAUGGACGAAAGUCUGACGCAGCAACGCCGCGUGAGGGAUGAAGGCCUUCGGGUUGUAAACCUCUUUUAUCAGGGAAGAUAAUGACGGUACCUGAUGAAUAAGUCACGGCUAACUACGUGCCAGCAGCCGC